Mya arenaria is the source of this 600-nucleotide long non-coding RNA. RefSeq lists it as uncharacterized. Lineage: Eukaryota; Metazoa; Mollusca; Bivalvia; Myida; Myidae. The transcript has 3 exons. The record is from RefSeq and is a predicted model, not a curated record.
CCGUACCCAAGACUUUGCCUGUGGGAAUGUGGUGUACCACAGGAGGUCAGAUGGCAUUCCAUGAUGGAAUUACAUCUCUUACCAAAUUCAGCAGGUCAAAAGUGCUUUUUACCAUCCACAGACAGUAUUUGGCAGACUAGGAACAAGAAAUUCCACUUACCGUAAGGUAAUAGCGGUUGUGCAUGAACAGCAAAUGCAUCCGGUGCUGGUUGCAAGGGCUGCCACUAUCUUCCUUUAGGAUAACAAGGAUGUCAGUUUCCAGCAAAAUAAUCCAGGAAGAACCGCAGGUCUUACUGUUAAGGAACGCAAUGAGGUGGUGACCAUUAGGCUCAAAGCUGUGGAGAAAGAUGUCUGGCCAGGAGACAUACGGUACUGAUGUUAUGCUUUACUGAUGUUGUUGCCAACACCUACAAAACAUUCACUACAACUACCACAACGAACAAUGUACUGAUAAUGCAGAAAAUCUGAGCUACCUUUGUGAAAGAGGCCAAGAGAGGAUUGGAUGGUAGAGUUUUAGAUGACACAAUGCUGACUGUUUCCACCCAGCUGAUUUUGCUUCCUAAUGGAAGCAGAAGGAAGUCUUCACUUUUAUUUUAAACA